This is a ribosomal RNA of Monodelphis domestica (gray short-tailed opossum), 119 nucleotides long. The record is from Ensembl. Lineage: Eukaryota; Metazoa; Chordata; Mammalia; Didelphimorphia; Didelphidae.
GUCUACGGCCAUACCACCCUGAACGUGCCCGAUAUCGUCUGAUCUCUGAAGCUAAGCAGGGUCGGGCCUGGUUAGUACUUGCAUGGGAGAACGCCUGGGAAUACCGGGUGCUGUAGGCU